UACGAAGGGUGCUAGCGUUGUUCGGAAUCACUGGGCGUAAAGCGCGCGUAGGCGGCUUUUCAAGUCAGGGGUGAAAUCCCACAGCUUAACUGUGGAACUGCCUUUGAAACUGGAAAGCUGGAGUGUCGGAGGGGAUAGCGGAAUUGCUAAUGUAGAGGUGAAAUUCGUAGAUAUUAGCAGGAACACCGGUGGCGAAGGCGGCUAUCUGGACGACAACUGACGCUGAGGCGCGAAAGCGUGGGGAUCAAACAGG
This 253-nucleotide ribosomal RNA is filed under the name uncultured bacterium. RNAcentral's name for it is "partial 16S ribosomal RNA". It matches the Rfam family "Bacterial small subunit ribosomal RNA", at positions 524 to 776 of the family's 1533-position model. The record is from RNAcentral.